This 495-nucleotide ribosomal RNA is filed under the name uncultured bacterium. RNAcentral's name for it is "partial 16S ribosomal RNA". It matches the Rfam family "Bacterial small subunit ribosomal RNA", at positions 29 to 506 of the family's 1533-position model. The record is from RNAcentral.
AUGAACGCUGGCGGCGUGCCUAAUACAUGCAAGUCGAGCGAACAGACGAGGAGCUUGCUCCUCUGACGUUAGCGGCGGACGGGUGAGUAACACGUGGAUAACCUACCUAUAAGACUGGGAUAACUUCGGGAAACCGGAGCUAAUACCGGAUAAUAUAUUGAACCGCAUGGUUCAAUAGUGAAAGACGGUUUUGCUGUCACUUAUAGAUGGAUCCGCGCCGCAUUAGCUAGUUGGUAAGGUAACGGCUUACCAAGGCAACGAUGCGUAGCCGACCUGAGAGGGUGAUCGGCCACACUGGAACUGAGACACGGUCCAGACUCCUACGGGAGGCAGCAGUAGGGAAUCUUCCGCAAUGGGCGAAAGCCUGACGGAGCAACGCCGCGUGAGUGAUGAAGGUCUUCGGAUCGUAAAACUCUGUUAUUAGGGAAGAACAAAUGUGUAAGUAACGAUGCACGUCUUGACGGGACCUAAUCAGAAAGCCACGGCUAACUACGU